RNAcentral lists this ribosomal RNA (465 nucleotides) under uncultured bacterium. Its description in RNAcentral is "partial 16S ribosomal RNA". It matches the Rfam family "Bacterial small subunit ribosomal RNA", at positions 28 to 507 of the family's 1533-position model. The record is from RNAcentral.
GACGAACGCUGGCGGCGUGCUUAACACAUGCAAGUCGAACGGAAAGGCCCUGCUUGCAGGGUACUCGAGUGGCGAACGGGUGAGUAACACGUGGGUGAUCUGCCCUGCACUUCGGGAUAAGCCUGGGAAACUGGGUCUAAUACCGGAUAGGAGCCAUUUUUAGUGUGAUGGUUGGAAAGUUUUUUCGGUGUAGGGUGAGCUCGCGGCCUAUCAGCUUGUUGGUGGGGUAAUGGCCUACCAAGGCGGCGACGGGUAGCCGGCCUGAGAGGGUGGACGGCCACAUUGGGACUGAGAUACGGCCCAGACUCCUACGGGAGGCAGCAGUGGGGAAUAUUGCACAAUGGGCGCAAGCCUGAUGCAGCGACGCCGCGUGGGGGAUGACGGCCUUCGGGUUGUAAACUCCUUUCGCUAGGGACGAAGCUUUUUGUGACGGUACCUAGAUAAGAAGCACCGACUAACUACGUG